Molecule: ribosomal RNA, 751 nt
Filed under: uncultured Pyronemataceae
Lineage: Eukaryota; Fungi; Ascomycota; Pezizomycetes; Pezizales; Pyronemataceae
Description: eukaryotic LSU rRNA
Rfam family: Eukaryotic large subunit ribosomal RNA (bases 503-751)
Source: RNAcentral
AGGAUCAUUAACAAAUUACAACGUUUGUUGAAACACACUCUGCGUAUCUUUACAUGUUGCUUCCCCCCGUCGGGCUCGUUCCGGGCGGGGGGGAGGGAGCCCCAAACUCUUGCAAUCGAAGGAAUCGGUCUGAAGGAAAACCUGUUUGUAUUCAAACGUUUUAAAACUUUCAACAACGGAUCUCUUGGUUCUCCCAUCGAUGAAGAACGCAGCGAAAUGCGAUAAGUAGUGUGAAUUGCAGAAUUCAGUGAAUCAUCGAAUCUUUGAACGCACAUUGCGCCCUCCGGUAUUCCRGRGGGCAUGCCUGUUCGAGCGUCAUCAAAACCACUCAGGUUGAUGUUUUUCGAAACCCCAGCYUGGUCUUGGGCGCGAGGGAUCAGAACCCUCUGCCUGCAAUGCAGUGGCGGAUWUKCCGGCCUGGCAAGAGCGUGAUAAACACGUCGUUCGCGAUUGGAGGCCGGAAUGCACAGCCAUAAUGAACCCCCAAAUCUAUUUUMAAGUUUGACCUCGGAUCAGGYAGGGAUACCCGCUGAACUUAAGCAUAUCAAUAAGCGGAGGAAAAGAAACCAACAGGGAUUGCCUUAGUAACUGCGAGUGAAGCGGCAAAAGCUCAAAUUUGAAAUCUGUGCCCUUCCGGGCACCGAGUUGUAAUCUUGAGAUACGUUUUCGACCGACAGGCCUGCCUUAAGUUCCUUGGAACAGGGCGUCACAGAGGGUGAGAAUCCCGUGAAGGGUAGGCCUCGAGGCGCAU